CUACGGGCGGCAGCAGUGGGGAAUAUUGCACAAUGGAGGAAACUCUGAUGCAGCAAUGCCGCGUGGAGGAUGACGCAUUUCGGUGUGUAAACUCCUUUUAUAUGUCAAGAAAAUGACGGUAGCAUAUGAAUAAGCACCGGCUAACUCCGUGCCAGCAGCCGCGGUAAUACGGAGGGUGCAAGCGUUACUCGGAAUCACUGGGCGUAAAGGACGCGUAGGCGGGUUGGAAAGUCAGGUGUGAAAUCCUACAGCUUAACUGUAGAACUGCACUUGAAACUUCUAAUCUAGAGUAUGGGAGGGGGAGAUGGAAUUAGUGGUGUAGGGGUAAAAUCCGUAGAUAUCACUAGGAAUACCUAAAGCGAAGGCGAUCUCCUGGAACAUUACUGACGCUAAGGCGUGAAAGCGUGGGGAGCAAACAGGAUUAGAUACCCGGGUAGUC
RNAcentral lists this ribosomal RNA (439 nucleotides) under uncultured bacterium. RNAcentral's name for it is "partial 16S ribosomal RNA". It matches the Rfam family "Bacterial small subunit ribosomal RNA", at positions 339 to 795 of the family's 1533-position model. The record is from RNAcentral.